GAAUCUGUCCGUUGGUCGGGCUUUAUUGUCCGUACUGAUGUGAUAGGUUCUUACCUUCUGAAUAACCAGCAUGUCAUUAAUUUGGUGUGUUGGGGAAGCAGGACUAUUACCUUGAAAAAAUUAGAGUGCUCAAAGCAGGCUAGUGCCUGAAUACAUUAGCAUGGAAUAAUAAAAUAGGACGGCAUGGUUCUAUUUUGUUGGUUUCUAGGAUCACCGUA
RNAcentral lists this ribosomal RNA (218 nucleotides) under uncultured Acaulospora. Its description in RNAcentral is "partial small subunit ribosomal RNA". The stretch from base 48 to 218 matches the Rfam family "Eukaryotic small subunit ribosomal RNA", at positions 693 to 864 of the family's 1831-position model. Lineage: Eukaryota; Fungi; Glomeromycota; Glomeromycetes; Diversisporales; Acaulosporaceae. The record is from RNAcentral.